This is a long non-coding RNA of Nannospalax galili (Upper Galilee mountains blind mole rat), 1038 nucleotides long. RefSeq lists it as uncharacterized. The transcript is spliced from 3 exons. The record is from RefSeq and is a predicted model, not a curated record. Lineage: Eukaryota; Metazoa; Chordata; Mammalia; Rodentia; Spalacidae.
AGCUUAGGGAUGAGGAACUGUCAAAAGAGAGUCAAGAAACAAAUUGGUUUUCUGCUCCUUCUGCCCUUAGGGUUUAUGGUCAGUAUUUGAAUCUUGAUAAAAACCACAAUGGCAUGCUCAGUAAAGAAGAACUCUCCCGUUAUGGAACAGCAACCAUGACCAAUGUCAUCCUAGACCAUGUUUUCCAAGAGUGUCUCACUUAUGAUGGAGAAAUGGCCAUACAAGAAUUAAUGAAAAUCCAUGGACAAGAUCCUGUUUCAUUUCAAGAUGUCAAGGUUAUUUUAUUUUCCUUUAUUGGUAUGUGUUACUAGAUAAUAUAACUAUAAUAAUACUAAAUAACUUGUACUAUAUCCAGUUUAAUAUGAAAGCAACUUAGGAACUAUGAAACACUGUUCCUAAUCAGAUAACUGCUAUUACUUGUUCUGAGCUGAUAUCUAAAAUCAGUAGAAACAGAGACAUAUUUAAACUUAGUGAUUUAUGUAGUUUAUAAUUUAGUAUUUCAGUCUUGUGUUCUGAUUGGAAACACUGAUUUAUUUAAAGACAGUCACUUUAGCCUGUAUCCUUUGGCACUCUUUUUUACUGUAAACAUUUAAUUGAACUGCAGAACUGUUUAGAUUCAAGCACUCUCUUUUUUUUUUAAGAACAUCAGUCCUUCAAGCUUAUACCUCAGUUAAAAUUGGCCAGAGUAUUUUAUUAGGUUACUCAACUUGAACCAAACAGAUACUGGGUACUGAAUGUUUUCUUAUACAUGGAUAGACUGGUUACUGAUAUUCCCAAGUAGUAGCAUGUGUUUCAAAUAAUGGUGGUUUUAUAUAGAUUUUUAUUUAUGUGUACUUAUGUCUGUUAGGCUAAGUGUAUGCCAUGUGUGUAUGAAUGCCCACAGAGGCCAGGAGAGAGUGCCAAAUUGCCUGGAGCUGGAGUACCAGGCAGUUGUGUGUUACCCAAAUUGGAUACUGGGAAUGUAACUCAGGUUCUCUGAAGAGCAGUUUUCAGUUGGGUACCAUCUCUCUAUCCCCCAAAUAGUGGUUUUCAUAUGGA